UCUAGCUGAACAGCAGUGUAAAAAAGGGCAGUAUACCUCUGUUUCCAAAUCUUAGGAAACAAUAAAUUAUUUAAUACAUUUGAUUAGUGUUCAUUUAAACUAUAUUAGUUAUUUUAGAACAGGGCCUAUUUUAAUCUUAUGAGAUGCAUAAUUUUUUGUUGACUAAAUGUGGGUCAGCAGUGUUUUUAAUAGAGCGGUGACGUAUUUACUGGAAGACAAUCUCUUUCUAUUUUGGGUGCAGCUGCCAUUUCAGCGUGUGGUUCUGUAGGUGUACAGUAGACCAGUAUACUGGAAAAGCGGUUUAACACUUUCAAUUUGGUCUGUACACUUCUACUUUGCAUCCCAACUUUAAUAGGAGACUACUGUUCUUGUUGACGGUGUAAUUUUCAUAAUAUUGUUUUCAUUAUUAAAGAUUUGAGAUGUUAAGUAUUUAUAGACAAGCCUGGCAAAAAUAGUAAAGCUUUAUAAAUCCAUGGGUUGUAACUGAUGGCAAUUCUGUUACCAUUCAGACGUGCCACUCUCUGACUGUUGUUGUGAUUACUUACCAUUUCUGCUGGCUCCUCAGCAUCCAGAGCAUCUCAAUAUGUCCUGGACAGUGGUCAGCCCCAUUGUGUUCACCUACAGAGUGAUCCAAUGCCACAACCUGCUGGAUGAUGGGAACGACCCACUGCUGUGUGGUCAUAUAGAGGACCAGGAGGAGCUCAAGGCGAUGAGAAGCAACACCAAGCACAUCAACGGCUUCAUUGUCAUUGAUGAGACAGUCAAUCAGCUCUAUGGCUCCCAGGUCACCAGGUACUUGAUGCCAGAAAUGUUCUCUAUAGUAUCCUCCCACUGCCCACUACAGAGGAGAACAGGUCCAUUAAAUGUUCUCUAUAGGAUCCUCCCACUGCACUCUACCUAGGACAACAAGUCCAUGGAGCACAUGACCAGGAUUCUGGAGGAGGUCCACAAGUUUGGCAUAGACAGGCGCUCUGAGCCCCUCAUUGCUAUUGGAGCAGGGGUGUGCCUGGAUGUGGUGGGCCUAGCUGUUUCUUUCUACCGGAGACGAACCCCCUAUAUCCGUGUCCCGACCACCCUGCUCUUCUACAUUGAUGCCAGUGUGGGGGCUAAAACUGGAGUCAACUUUGUCAAUGGAAAGAACAAGCUGGGGAGUUACAUCCCCCCCCGGUCGCAACGUUUUUAGACCGAACUGUUCCUCGCCGGCAGGUUUCUAUUGGGAUGGCAGAAAUGUUAAAGAUGGCCCUGAUGAUACACAGGGGCCUGUUUGAACUCCUGGAGACUUAAGGUGGGGGACCUGCUGGACUUCAGCUUCCAGUCCUAUGACCAGAAGACCAGUGGCUGUUGUGACCUGGAGGAUGCUGCCACUACAUCCCCACGGAUUGCCAUAGAAACCAUGCUAGAUGAGUUGGCUCCCAACCUGUGGGAAUAUGACCUGGACAGACUGGUGGACUUUGGCCACCUAGUCAGCCCUGAGCUACGAAUGAAAGUGCUGACUGUGCUACUCCACGGGGAGGCGUGAACAUCGACAUGUCCUUCAUGGUGUACGUGGCCCACCAUAAAGGGCUCCAGAUGGAAGAGGAGAAGGCCCGGAUCAGCCGCUGCAUGAUGGAGCUGCCUGUGUGGCACCAGGACUGCACUCUGGCACUGGUGCAGAAGUCUCUGAGUGAACGUCUGAAACCCUCUGCAGGGUCCCUGAAGAUGCCUCUUCACACAGGACUGUGCUGUGCAGGUCUGGACAUCUUUCCUUUGAUUAUUGAAGAAUAUAUCUUAUAAAUGCCUCAUGAGCUAAGUUCAACUGUCUUACCCCAUCAGAACCCAAAAUAUAAGUUUGUUUUACUCCUAUUUUUGUAAACAAAAUAAAUGUAAACAAACAGCCUCAAAACAUGGUUAUGUCAAUAGUUGUAAUGUCAUCGAUGGUCUGUCCUUGCAACAAUAGCUUCCUCUAUGAAUUUGAGAGUGGUUACAUUUCUCCCACCCCAUCCCUCAGCUUUUUACCAAAAUAGGAGUGGGUAACCCACUUUGUUAUUGUCUCAAAUGCUGAUUGACGCUUUAAGAACACCAUCGAACUGUCUUUUUAUGUCACGACUUCAGUCGAAGUCGGUCCCUCUCCUUGUUCGGGCGGUGUUCGGCGGUCGACGUCACCGGUCU
Long non-coding RNA from Salvelinus namaycush (lake trout), 2148 nucleotides. RefSeq lists it as uncharacterized. NCBI's taxonomy places the organism in Eukaryota, Metazoa, Chordata, Actinopteri, Salmoniformes, Salmonidae. The transcript has 3 exons. The record is from RefSeq and is a predicted model, not a curated record.